Chiroxiphia lanceolata (lance-tailed manakin) is the source of this 596-nucleotide long non-coding RNA. RefSeq lists it as uncharacterized. The record is from RefSeq and is a predicted model, not a curated record. Lineage: Eukaryota; Metazoa; Chordata; Aves; Passeriformes; Pipridae. The transcript has 3 exons.
GGAAUGAAAUAAUUUCUGUGAAAAUGCACCCUGGUGCACAGCAAAGGCCAGGAAGUGAAUCCUCUCUAAGCCCGCCCCCUUUGUAAAGUAAUUCCUAAAAUGCAGCAGCACCUGACCAGUUCUGCCUGUGACGUUUCUCUUCCCCCAUCCAGAACAAAAAAAAUACAGGAUUCCAAACACAGCAGGGAGCUCCAUGCCCCAGCUCUGCGGGGUUUUUGUGCUCUCAACUGAUACUCCAAAGCCGCAAGCUCGCUGCACGGUGGGGCUGAGCAGGAGCGCUGGCUGGAGGGAAGCUCCUCCAGGCCAGCCCCGCUCUCAGCAGGGUCGAGGUGGGGGCAAAAAGGGAAAAGCGGCUCUGGUCGGAUCAUGGGCAGCUCCCAGCCCCUCCCGUGCAUCGCCCCAGCCCUGCUCACCUGCUGCCAGCUGCAUCCAGGCACACACUUUAUAGACGGUGGCUGCGUUACAGAAGAAGAAGAGGCUGAAGCAGAGGAUGGAGCCAAUUAUGAGGAAGGUGGAUAUACCUACGAAGAACAUGGCAGUUUUGAAGGCACUGGAAGGGAUGGUGCCGAAGUCGAGGGGGCUGCCCUUGCAGAUGA